AAGAGGUGGCCCCAAACCUGAAGGGAGCACGCCGCGUGAGGGAUGAAGGCCUCUGGGCUGUAAACCUCUUUUAUCUGGGAAGAAGAUCUGACGGUACUUGAUGAGUAAUCCACGGCUAAUUCCGUGCCAACAGCCGCGGUAAUACGGGAGUGGCAAGCGUUAUCCGGAAUUAUUGGGCGUAAAGCGUCCGCAGGCGGCCCUUCAAGUCUGCUGUUAAAAAGUGGAGCUUAACUCCAUCAUGGCACUGGAAACUGAUGGGCUCGAGUGUGGUAGGGGCAGAGGGAAUUCCCGGUGUAACGGUGAAAUGCGUAGAUAUCGGGAAGAACACCAGUGGCAAAGGCGCUCUGCUGGGCCAUCACUGACGCUCAUGGACGAAAGCCAGGGGAGCGAAAGGGAUUAAAUACCCCUGUAGUCCUGGCCGUAAACGAUGAACACUAGGUGUCGGGGGAAUCGACCCCUCCGGUGUCGUAGCCAACACAUUAAGUGUU
This 488-nucleotide ribosomal RNA is filed under the name uncultured bacterium. Its description in RNAcentral is "bacterial SSU rRNA". It matches the Rfam family "Bacterial small subunit ribosomal RNA", at positions 370 to 868 of the family's 1533-position model. The record is from RNAcentral.